This 1517-nucleotide small RNA is filed under the name uncultured Arctic sea ice bacterium. RNAcentral describes it as "bacterial SSU rRNA". The stretch from base 1 to 994 matches the Rfam family "Bacterial small subunit ribosomal RNA", at positions 528 to 1533 of the family's 1533-position model. The record is from RNAcentral.
AAGGGACCUAGCGUAGUUCGGAAUUACUGGGCUUAAAGAGUUCGUAGGUGGUUGAAAAAGUUGGUGGUGAAAUCCCAGAGCUUAACUCUGGAACUGCCAUCAAAACUUUUCAGCUAGAGUAUGAUAGAGGAAAGCAGAAUUUCUAGUGUAGAGGUGAAAUUCGUAGAUAUUAGAAAGAAUACCAAUUGCGAAGGCAGCUUUCUGGAUCAUUACUGACACUGAGGAACGAAAGCAUGGGUAGCGAAGAGGAUUAGAUACCCUCGUAGUCCAUGCCGUAAACGAUGUGUGUUAGACGUUGGAAAUUUACUUCCAGUGUCGCAGGGAAACCGAUAAACACACCGCCUGGGGAGUACGACCGCAAGGUUAAAACUCAAAUGAAUUGACGGGGACCCGCGCAAGUAGUGGAGCAUGUGGUUUAAUUCGAAGAUACGCGCAGAACCUUACCAACACUUGACAUGUUCGUCGCGACUCUAAGAGAUUAGAGUUUUCGGUUCGGCCGGACGAAACACAGGUGCUGCAUGGCUGUCGUCAGCUCGUGUCGUGAGAUGUUGGGUUAAGUCCCGCAACGAGCGCAACCCUCUCUUUUAGUUGCCAUCAUUAAGUUGGGCACUCUGAAAGAACUGCCAGUGAUAAGCUGGAGGAAGGUGGGGAUGACGUCAAGUCCUCAUGGCCCUUACGUGUUGGGCUACACACGUGCUACAAUGGCAUCUACAACAGGAAGCAAAACGGCAACGUUAAGCAAAUCCCAAAAAGAUGCCUCAGUUCGGAUUGCACUCUGCAACUCGAGUGCAUGAAGCUGGAAUUACUAGUAAUCGUGGAUCAGCGUGCCACGGUGAAUGCGUUCCCGGGUCUUGUACACACCGCCCGUCACACCAUGGGAGUUGGUUCUACCUUAAGGCAAGGUUUUAAACCCUUGACCACGGUAUAGUCAGCGACUGGGGUGAAGUCGUAACAAGGUAGCCGUAGGGGAACCUGCGGCUGGAUUACCUCCUUUCUAAGGAUGAGUGAAAGUAAAAUUUCACUCUAAAUAAUAUACAUCGGUAAUGUUGACCGUCCUCAUUUCUCUUCUUAAAGUAAUGUUUCCUUCUUGUAGGGCCGGUAGCUCAGUUGGUUAGGGCACACCCUUGAUAAGGGUGGGGUCGAAAGUUCGAGUCUUUCUCGGCCCACCAAAAACCUAAAUGGGGGAUUAGCUCAUCUGGGAGAGCGCCUGAUUUGCAUUCAGGAGGUAGCAGGUUCGAUCCCUGUAUCCUCCACCAGGAAACAUUUAGUUAUUAAAACUGUAAAUAAAAAUAAUUUAUAUCAAUAUCUAUAUCCGAACAUUAAAAGUUAUUAUUUAAUGUUCAAAAUAAAAAUUUGAUCACAACAUAGAUAAAUUUUCUGUUAAAAGAAUUUUUUUCUGUGCAUAAAUCAAGCGUUUAAGGGCGUGUAGUGAUGCCUUGGCACUGAAAGCCGAUGAAGGACGUGAUAUACUGCGAUAAGUUUCGGGGAGCUGUAUGUAAGCUUUGAUCCGAAAAUUU